Molecule: ribosomal RNA, 269 nt
Filed under: uncultured bacterium
Lineage: Bacteria
Description: partial 16S ribosomal RNA
Rfam family: Bacterial small subunit ribosomal RNA
Source: RNAcentral
UUCGGAAUGACAUUGGUAAAGGAAAGUGGCGGACGGGCGAGUAACGCGUGAGUAACCUGCCCAUAAGAGAGGGAUAAUCCAUGGAAACGUGGACUAAUACCUCAUAUUGAAUGUUAAUCGCAUGAUUGACAUUUGAAAGAUUUAUCGCUUAUGGAUGGACUCGCGUCAGAUUAGAUAGUUGGCGGGGUAACGGCCCACCAAGUCGACGAUCUGUAGCCGAACUGAGAGGUUGAUCGGCCGCAUUGGGACUGAGAUACGGCCCAGACUCC